Molecule: long non-coding RNA, 1052 nt
Organism: Vicia villosa (hairy vetch)
Lineage: Eukaryota; Viridiplantae; Streptophyta; Magnoliopsida; Fabales; Fabaceae
Exons: 2
Source: RefSeq, a predicted model, not a curated record
UAAUCCUAAAAUAUUUUAAUUUUCAAAAGGUGACGUAAAAGGAAAACUAGGGUAUCCAAAUUGUGAACAUGGUUUGGGCUAAUUCUUCAAUAGCCCAAUUCAUAUUCCUGCGGCAGCUCAUUCUCAAAUACCCUAAUUCCUUCUAUAUAUUUACCCACAAUCAUAAACCCUAACAUACUCAGCAGCUUCGAAAGCCAACCAGCGUGUUCUUCUCCCACCGCGUUUGCAAGUGACGAAAAAACAGACAGGGACAUCAGAUCUCCUAAUUAGAGAAAAUGAUGACAUGUCGUUGGGAAUCUCUCUGAUGCAUUAUGUAUAUUUUGCAAUUACUAUUAUUUUUUAAUUCAUACUUUUAUACCUUUUGUUGAUUUGCAUUGUUAAAGUUUUUUAUUAGAGAACUAAUUGUGCGCAGAUGAUGACAAUAUAUAGACAGGGACUCAGCACUCUUAUGGAGAAUGUUGAUUUGUCUAAUGGGAAAAAUCUCUGAUGCCUUUGCAAAAUAUUUUUUUGAUUAUCUAAUUGUCUUAUUUCAUGUUUUUUCAAUUGCUCAAUUUUGUUGUUUUUCAAUUGUAAUACAAUUUGCAAAUGAUGAAAAAACAGACAGGGACAUCAGAUCUCCUAAUUAGAGAAAAUGAUGACUCGUCGUUGGGAAUCUCUCUGAUGCUUAAUGUAUUUCUAAACCAAUUUAUAUAGAAAAUUUAUUCUUUUAAACAAUUAAGUAUUUUUGUUUUAAAAUUUCUCUCAGUGAUUUGGCCAAUGAUGUACUAAUUGCACGUAUUACCAGAUAUAUAAUUUGAUGAUUAAUGCUAAUUGUCACUACCGCUGAGGCCGUGUUACUGUUAAUUUAUGUACUUCCCGUGUGAUUUUUUUAAGAUGUCUUUUUAUUUUAGUAUAUUGCAUCAAGCCUAGUGAUUGUCAUAAAGAACGGAGAUUUGAAAGUUGCUUUUGUUGAAGCCUUUGUUAAUCCAAGGGCUCCAAAAGCAUAGUAUGAAAUAAACCGUUUUAUGUUGGUAUCAAUGAAGGCAAUUUAUGUUGAGGCAGUUUAUUGGUAA